CCCCUCUCAGGAUUGGCAUCUGGAGAGUUUCCAGUAUUCUACCAGUCUCGGCUAAGGGAGGGACAGUGAAGCAGAGGCAUACUCAUUCCAUUCCUAGCUUGGGCAGUGACUAGUGAGUGGAUGGUAAUCUGCUACAAAU
RNAcentral lists this small nucleolar RNA (139 nucleotides) under Ornithorhynchus anatinus (platypus). The record is from RNAcentral. Lineage: Eukaryota; Metazoa; Chordata; Mammalia; Monotremata; Ornithorhynchidae.